This 112-nucleotide ribosomal RNA is filed under the name Erysipelothrix sp. The record is from RNAcentral. Lineage: Bacteria; Bacillati; Bacillota; Erysipelotrichia; Erysipelotrichales; Erysipelotrichaceae.
GGUGAUACUAGCAAAGUGGUCACACCUGUUCCCAUACCGAACACAGUAGUUAAGCACUUUAGCGGCAAAAAUAGCUGGGCCUAGCCCCCGUGAACAUAGCUCAUCGCCGGGU